Molecule: ribosomal RNA, 796 nt
Filed under: uncultured Alphaproteobacteria bacterium
Lineage: Bacteria; Pseudomonadati; Pseudomonadota; Alphaproteobacteria
Description: bacterial SSU rRNA
Rfam family: Bacterial small subunit ribosomal RNA
Source: RNAcentral
CAUGCAAGUCGAGCGCGCCCUUCGGGGUGAGCGGCGGACGGGUGAGUAACGCGUGGGAAUAUGCCCUUCUCUAAGGAAUAGCCUCUGGAAACGGAGAGUAAUACCUUAUACGCCCUUUGGGGGAAAGAUUUAUCGGAGAAGGAUUAGCCCGCGUUAGAUUAGGUAGUUGGUGGGGUAAUGGCCUACCAAGCCUACGAUCUAUAGCUGGUUUGAGAGGAUGAUCAGCCACACUGGGACUGAGACACGGCCCAGACUCCUACGGGAGGCAGCAGUAGGGAAUCUUAGACAAUGGGGGCAACCCUGAUCUAGCCAUGCCGCGUGUGUGAUGAAGGCCCUAGGGUCGUAAAGCACUUUCGCCAGAGAUGAUAAUGACAGUAUCUGGUAAAGAAACCCCGGCUAACUCCGUGCCAGCAGCCGCGGUAAUACGGAGGGGGUUAGCGUUGUUCGGAAUUACUGGGCGUAAAGCGCACGUAGGCGGAUUAGUAAGUAGAGGUGAAAUCCCAGGGCUCAACCCUGGAACUGCCUUUAAUACUGCUAGUCUUGAGUUCGAGAGAGGUAAGUGGAAUUCCGAGUGUAGAGGUGAAAUUCGUAGAUAUUCGGAGGAACACCAGUGGCGAAGGCGGCUUACUGGCUCGAUACUGACGCUGAGGUGCGAAAGUGUGGGGAGCAAACAGGAUUAGAUACCCUGGUAGUCCACACCGUAAACGAUGAAUGCCAGACGUCAGCAAGUAUACUUGCUGGUGUCACGCCUAACGGAUUAAGCAUUCCGCCUGGGGAGUACGGUCGCAAGAUUAAA